RNAcentral lists this long non-coding RNA (657 nucleotides) under Homo sapiens (human). RNAcentral describes it as "HSALNT0377909". Lineage: Eukaryota; Metazoa; Chordata; Mammalia; Primates; Hominidae. The record is from RNAcentral.
CGUCUAUUCCGGAAAACCGUAUUUAAAAGCAGGAUUGACGACCAAAGAAAAAUGAGAAAGUAACAUUUUAAUGUGGAGCUUAGUAAUCGCCUAGAAUGAAUGGCGAUAUACAGUUUACUGCACCCUCCAAUGCGCAAAAGAGGCAGGAUGGCAAAAUUCAUGACUAUCUUAAGCAAGCCAGGAGACUGCUAAAAAGUGUGGGCCUCAUUCUAAGUCUGACUUCCCUAAUGCUCAGAAGAUGGCUAUGUUGAGUCCACAAACUUUUGAAUUCAGAAACAAGAUUGAGUUGAUUUCAGAAGCUCUCCCAGAAGAUCAAGAAAGAACUUUCCAGGAUCUCCAGGAACCUGAAUUGAGUCAUACGCCAAAGUGAGUUUCAUGCUCUUUGGCAAAACAAUCAUUGGCAGGAUAGAUGAAAGUAGCUUAGAAGUGACCAAUAUGUCAAGGUCCCAUGAGAAGACUGAAAAAAAGAGAAGAAAGAGGAAAGAAAAGAAUGACAAGAAAGAGAAAGAAAGAAACCAAUAUGCUCUUUGUUCUUUGCUUUUGCUUCCUCAAGCUUUUCUCUGUCUACAAAGCCAACCUCUCCUGCUCAGCUCAUCAGAACAUUCACUCCACUUUCUGGAAUGAAGUGUUGCCUGAUCCUAGAGUCGCAAUAAAGCC